This 730-nucleotide ribosomal RNA is filed under the name uncultured bacterium. RNAcentral describes it as "bacterial SSU rRNA". It matches the Rfam family "Bacterial small subunit ribosomal RNA", at positions 771 to 1501 of the family's 1533-position model. The record is from RNAcentral.
AACAGGAUUAGAUACCCUGGUAGUCCACGCCGUAAGCGAUGUCGACUUGGAGGUUGUGCCCUUGAGGCGUGGCUUCCGGAGCUAACGCGUUAAGUCGACCGCCAGGGGAGUACGGCCGCAAGGUUAAAACUCAAAUGAAUUGACGGGGGCCCGCACAGGCGGUGGAGCAUGUGGUUUAAUUCGAUGCAACGCGAAGAACCUUACCUACUCUUGACAUCCAGAGAACUUAGCAGAGAUGCUUUGGUGCCUUCGGGAACUCUGAGACAGGUGCUGCAUGGCUGUCGUCAGCUCGUGUUGUGAAAUGUUGGGUUAAGUCCCGCAACGAGCGCAACCCUUAUCCUUUGUUGCCAGCGGUUAGGCCGGGAACUCAAAGGAGACUGCCAGUGAUAAACUGGAGGAAGGUGGGGAUGACGUCAAGUCAUCAUGGCCCUUACGAGUAGGGCUACACACGUGCUACAAUGGCAUAUACAAAGAGAAGCGACCUCGCGAGAGCAAGCGGACCUCAUAAAGUAUGUCGUAGUCCGGAUUGGAGUCUGCAACUCGGCUCCAUGAAGUCGGAAUCGCUAGUAAUCGUGGAUCAGAAUGCCACGGUGAAUACGUUCCCGGGCCUUGUACACACCGCCCGUCACACCAUGGGAGUGGGUUGCAAAAGAAGUAGGUAGCUUAGCCUUCGGGAGGGCGCUUACCACUUUGUGAUUCAUGACUGGGGUGAAGUCGUAACAAGGUAACC